GUCUCUGACUUUUGAAAGGGUCGUGCACACCUCGGAGCUCUCGCACACAAUCCAUCUCACCCCUUUUGUGAAUCACCGCGUGGAAACCCCUUUUGGCUAGUUCCGAGGGGGGCUUUUCACGUUUUUACACAGACACCCUUUUAAUGCAAUGUGUAGAAUGUCUUACUUUUUGCGAUCACACGCAAUCAAUACAACUUUCAACAACGGAUCUCUUGGCUCUCGCAUCGAUGAAGAACGCAGCGAAAUGCGAUACGUAAUGUGAAUUGCAGAAUUCAGUGAAUCAUCGAAUCUUUGAACGCACCUUGCGCCCUUUGGCAUUCCGAAGGGCACACCCGUUUGAGUGUCGUGACAUCCUCAAAACCUUCUUGGUUUCUUGACCUGUUAGUCUUUGGACUUUGGACCCUUUUUUUUUUUUUUGGGGGGGGGGGACCCCCCCCCCCCUGAAAUGAAUUAGUGGGGUCUGCUUUGCUGAUCCUUGACGUGAUAAGAUGUUUUCUACGUCUUGGGUUUCGCAACGUUCCCGCUUCUAACCGUCUCAUAGAAGACAACGGUCAAGUGAUCGCCACUUGACCCACAAACCCUUGACCUCAAAUCGGGUGAGACUACCCGCUGAACUUAAGCAUAUCAAUAAGCGGAGG
RNAcentral lists this unclassified non-coding RNA (638 nucleotides) under Russula sp. SB129. Its description in RNAcentral is "sequence contains 18S rRNA gene, ITS1, 5.8S rRNA gene, ITS2 and 28S rRNA gene". The stretch from base 193 to 346 matches the Rfam family "5.8S ribosomal RNA". The record is from RNAcentral. Lineage: Eukaryota; Fungi; Basidiomycota; Agaricomycetes; Russulales; Russulaceae.